This 367-nucleotide unclassified non-coding RNA is filed under the name uncultured fungus. RNAcentral's name for it is "partial contains small subunit ribosomal RNA, internal transcribed spacer 1, and 5.8S ribosomal RNA". The stretch from base 1 to 73 matches the Rfam family "Eukaryotic small subunit ribosomal RNA", at positions 1759 to 1831 of the family's 1831-position model. The record is from RNAcentral. Lineage: Eukaryota; Fungi.
GCAAACUUGGUCAUUUAGAGGAAGUAAAAGUCGUAACAAGGUUUCCGUAGGUGAACCUGCGGAAGGAUCAUUAUUGAAUCAACUUGGUUUGGGUUGUUGCUGGCUUUUUUAUGGGCAUGUGCACACCUAUUCCAUCUUUUAACCACCUGUGCACCUCAUGUAGAUCUGAGAAACUCGAGGGAGAGACUCGGUUUGAGAAUUGCUGAGUGACAGCAAGCUGUUCUUGUUAUCAGAUCUAUGUUUUUUUUUUUUAUAAUAUACCCCAUAUGAAUGUAUUCGAAUGUUGUAAUUGGCCUUUGUGCCAUUAAAGUCUAAUACAACUUUCAACAACGGAUCUCUUGGCUCUCGCAUCGAUGAAGAACGCAGC